RNAcentral lists this long non-coding RNA (421 nucleotides) under Equus caballus (horse). RNAcentral's name for it is "lncRNA (ENSECAG00000045997.1)". Lineage: Eukaryota; Metazoa; Chordata; Mammalia; Perissodactyla; Equidae. The record is from RNAcentral.
AGCUGGGAUGUCCAAUAUGGGAGCUCCUGGCAACAUGUGGCUAUUGAGCACUUAGCUGUGGCUGGUCUGACUUAAGCGAUAGACGAUAGUUCCCGUUGCUCCCAUUGUCUCCAGCAAUUUGUGUUGCCAGUGUUCCGGAUUGUGGCCAUUCUAACAGAAUUUGGAAUAAGAUUUGCAGUUAUUGUAACAGACCAGCUGGCAUGGAGAUCGUGGGAGAGAAGAUACAUAGCACCUACCUACCACUAACUGCCAGAGGCUACCAAUAUUUACCCAAAGUACCCAACAAUUGCUGAACAGCCAAAUUGGCCUGGGUCCAUUCAACACAAUCAGAUAAGAAGAACAUCUGAAGGUGCUGUGCAAAUCACUAAAGUUUGGAAGCACAGACAACUCUUCCAGAAAAUCUUCUGUAACUGAAAAAGUG